RNAcentral lists this ribosomal RNA (173 nucleotides) under uncultured Bacillota bacterium. Its description in RNAcentral is "uncultured Firmicutes bacterium partial 16S ribosomal RNA". It matches the Rfam family "Bacterial small subunit ribosomal RNA", at positions 338 to 528 of the family's 1533-position model. Lineage: Bacteria; Bacillati; Bacillota. The record is from RNAcentral.
CCUACGGGAGGCAGCAGUGGGGAAUAUUGCACAAUGGGGGAAACCCUGAUGCAGCAACGCCGCGUGAGUGAUGACGGUCUUCGGAUUGUAAAACUCUGUCUUUGGGGACGAUAAUGACGGUACCCAAGGAGGAAGCCACGGCUAACUACGUGCCAGCAGCCGCGGUAAUGAGU